This 415-nucleotide ribosomal RNA is filed under the name uncultured archaeon. Its description in RNAcentral is "bacterial SSU rRNA". It matches the Rfam family "Bacterial small subunit ribosomal RNA", at positions 509 to 926 of the family's 1533-position model. The record is from RNAcentral.
CAGCCGCCGCGGUAAUACGGAGGGUGCAAGCGUUAUCCGGAUUCACUGGGUUUAAAGGGUGCGUAGGCGGGUAGGUAAGUCAGUGGUGAAAUCCUGGAGCUCAACUCCAGAACUGCCAUUGAUACUAUCUGUCUUGAAUAUUGUGGAGGUAAGCGGAAUAUGUCAUGUAGCGGUGAAAUGCUUAGAUAUGACAUAGAACACCCAUUGCGAAGGCAGCUUACUACGCAUAUAUUGACGCUGAGGCACGAAAGCGUGGGGAUCAAACAGGAUUAGAUACCCUGGUAGUCCACGCCCUAAACUAUGGAUACUCGACAUACGCGAUACACUGUGUGUGUCUGAGCGAAAGCAUUAAGUAUCCCACCUGGGAAGUACGUUCGCAAGAAUGAAACUCAAAGGAAUUGGCGGGGGAGCACAG